GGUAGCUUAUAGAUUGUAGUUGUCCUUUUUGCAUCAGUGUACUACUGCAGUUGCGCCAGUAUACAUUAUUUUCCUACAACUGGUCUUUGGGUCAGUGAACAUGAGCUAGAGACACAAGGUGAUAACACUAUUUGUGUCAUUUGUUUCUUUCAGUUUUAUUCAUGAGGCGCUGAUGAUUGAUGGAGCGAGACCUAACCAACUUGAUGUUACCAAGCUACACCCAUUGUCACAUGAAGUUAUCUCACGCCAAACGAGGAUCAACAUCGGUUAAGGACAAGCCAAAUGGAACAAUAUACAUUUGUCGCUGAAAGUAGGCUUGGGAAGUUGCCAGUUAAGGACAAAGCUUCUGGAAAGAAGCAAGCAUCUUCCAAGGGAAGCUUGACUAAAGCUGUUCAGGGCGGUUUGGGUACUGAAUCGUACGAGUUAAUGGCAAAGAUUCCUAGUUCACCCUUAGUAGGCCUAAAACUAUUUGUACAGAUAUGUGUAUGUACCUAUUCAUUUGUGAUGACGACAAUGAGAUCAGUUUUGUUUCUGUCAAAAGGAUGGCGUCGAGCUGAGCAGCCUUUGAUACACCGCAUUAGGAGCCCAGGUGUUGCCUUCCUGAUAAAUCUGGCUACAACCGACCGGCAUGAGCUCGCUUUGGCCCCUCCGAUCUUGCAGCUACUGCCUCAUCGCCAACCUACAACA
Long non-coding RNA from Triticum aestivum (bread wheat), 687 nucleotides. RefSeq lists it as uncharacterized. The record is from RefSeq and is a predicted model, not a curated record. The transcript has 4 exons. NCBI's taxonomy places the organism in Eukaryota, Viridiplantae, Streptophyta, Magnoliopsida, Poales, Poaceae.